UUUUUUUUUUUUUGGGUUAAAAUUUUUAUGUUUUUAACUUGGAGUUGAUGGCGUUUGGUCGAAUUAAUAAUUAAAGGGUAUUUUAGGAAUAAUGGUGGGUGGAAAAGUAGGAUUGGCAAAAAUAAUGCAUCCAACUAAGUCAACCAAAAUAAUUGCAUCGAAUUAAUGAUGUUCUUGGAAUAUUGAUACAAAACAAACUAGGUGUUAAAAAAUAUUUAAUAUCUGAGUAUGACCUAUGAUGACAAAGACUAAUCGUCACAAUCAUGGCGAUUAUUCAAAAGGUGUAACAUCUCUGACCCAAUGUAAUCGAUUUAAUCCAAUUUAAUUCUUUUGUGAAAUUUCAAUUUUGUCCUUGGGAGUAGGGGUACUUUGAUCACUUGAAGAAGAAAAAAUAUUUAUUGUAUGGCAUUACAUAAUGGUGUAAGUUUGUGUUAGCUUAUGUGAGGCCCCAAUUUAAGGUUUGCACAGGGCCUUCAAAAUCUCAAGACCGGCCCUGCAAAGUCAUAGAUAUACAUAUCGAACUAAAUAUAUUAAGUACAACAAACAAUUUGUUCAUCAUAAUAAUUGUAUUUUAUUUACUUUUAUUGGAUUAUUAAUAAAAUCAGUUUUUUAUUAUUUAAUUAUUAUAAAUAUGUUAUUAUUCAUAGAAGAGAAAAAUGAAUAAAAAGAAAAUAAGAUAGACUAAAAAAAGUUUAUUUAAUUUGAACUCACCCAAUAAAAAAUCAUUCAAUUAUAAAAAAUAAAAAUAAAAUAGAAUAAAUCAUACUUUCAUACAAUAUCUUAUCUUUUUCAAUGUAGAAGUUGGUCUUCAUGGUAGCUUCAUUAGAAUAAUUGUUUCUGGUUGAGGCGUGUGAUCACUAUUCUUAAAAGUAGAUUUCACCCAUCCGAGACAAUAUCUUAAUAAACACUCGCAACAUUUGGUUCAAAUGAACAACUUAAAUUUUUCCUUGAGAAAUAAACUAAAAAUUGAAAGAACAAUGCGAAGGAGGAGUACCACAAUGUAGAGGAGUGAGAAAAUUGUUCGAGUGUUGUUGCUCUAAUAGAAGGUUUAUAUAAUGUGUGCCUCCUUAGGCGUUAGACCAAUAAAAACACGUUUAAAAGUCUGCCGGUGUUGCAAAUAAAAUUCUUAUUUUUGCCGUUGAGGAGUUUACGUGCAACAUAUAAUAUGAACAUGCCACAUUAUGCAGUGUAAAAAUAUGAGAUAAAAAUGUAAUAAGUAUAGCAUUACUCUUUGAUAUACGGGAGCUGGCUAUUCAAUUGAGGCUAGGCAUUCAAAUUUCAAUAAAACUCCUGCACCUUUUUUCCUUUUUCUUUUUCAAACAAUAAAGGCAAUAACAGAGAUGAGAAUUCAGAUGAGUUUUAUUUAAUUUUGAAUCUCUGGAACUAUAUUCUCGUUUUGGGCCUAAAAGAGUCGGAGGACCUAUCGCACAUCCUGCACUGCAGCCCAUGCUCACAGAAGCCCAAUAGAGGCAGAAGCUGUCGGCAAUGUCAUUGCGCUUCUAGAGAGGAACGAACUGUUUAGCAUCCAUUGACCGCUCCCCUGCUCAACUGAAGUAAUGAUAUGAUUAUGGAUAAGCUUUUGAAUGGAAACCACACCAAUUUUCAAUUAUAUUCUCUUUGAUUUAAGAAUUAAAGGAUUUUUGAUUGGGUGAGUUCAAAUCAAAGAAAGUCUUGAUCUAUCUUAUUUUCUUUUUUAUUCAUUUUCUCUUCUAUGAAUAAACAUAUUUAUAAUAAUUAAUUAAUAAUAAUAAUAAACUGAAUUUGUUAAUAGCUCAAUCAAUAUAAAUUAUCCUCAAGAAUAAAAUGUUUAUUAAGCUUAAUUUAUUUAGUACGAUCCCUCUAAAUCUGAUCAAAUGAUCUGACAGUAACAAAACUCUGGUUAGAUGACCUAAAAAAAAAAAAAAAAACUCUUGAACAUAUGACCUCUUCAUUUGUAGUUUUUUUAAAGUUCCAUCGUCGCUUUUCAGGGCUAUCUUCUAAAUUUCUUCUUCAACGUGUCCCAGCGUGUCCACGAGGUCAUGGUCCAUGUGUGACAUACACUUCAACCAUCAUGUGAUAAUGUUUGUACACAACUUGAACUUGACAUGAAAUUAGCAAGUUCGGAUUAUGUUUUGUUUGACAUGAACACGAAUAUAACAUGACUAUUAAACAUGAAAAUAACAUAUCAAAUUAGUGUCAAACUUAGUAUGCUCGCCGAUCAAAUAAGAGGUUGCGAGUACAUGCUCCUCUGCCUUUUGUACACCAAUAUAUGCUUCACUCGUUUUUGGUACCCCUAAUACUUGUUGAUCAACUUUGAGAUCUAUUGCAAGCAUCAAAUCAUGUGGAAGCCUAGCACAUUAUGAACAAAUAUAUUCAUAAGAUGAUAUGUCAUUGAUGGGUGAUUAGAAAUGAAAUCCAGGUCAGAAUAGUCAACAAAUCAGGAAAAUGAAAGAAUCCCACUAGACACCUGAUCAGACCAAAUCACUGAAAGCAAAAUUUAAGGCCAAUAAUGGUCUGCAGCACUCCAAAUUUGACGAGGAGCAUGUAAUAUAUGUACCUGCAAAAUUGAAGUUCAACAAGAAAUCCCAAGAGAUAGCUAUGAAUUCCCACUUCCAUCUAUUGCCUCAUACGUUUGCCAUAAUAUUAUGUGUUAUUGUAAAUAUUUUUCCGACUAUAGACUCAGCCAUUGCAAGCAAUAUUUCCACAGACAAGGAGGCCUUGAUCUUAUUCAAGUCAGGGGUUAAUCUCCCCCCAUCUUUCUGGGACCAAAACUCAUCCCCCUGCUCCAACUGGACUGGAGUUGCAUGCAACCAAAUUGGGCAGACUCAGAGAGUUGUUUCUCUUGAUCUUUCAGGCUCGAAACUUGCAGGGACCAUAAACCCCCAUGUUGGUAAGUUGACAAAACUUCAAGUCUUGAAUUUAGCGCGAAACAAUCUCCAUGGUCCAAUCCCAUCAUCCAUAAGCAACCUCUCUGCCACCCUCACACAUUUAAAUUUAGGCACAAAUAGUCUCAGUGGUACAAUACCAAGGGAAUUGGGUUUCCUUUAUAAACUCAAGGAACUUGAUCUCUCUGUUAACCAACUCACUGGGACUGUCGCCCUUUCCAUAUACAACAUCUCCUCUCUAGUUUUGUUUACUGUAGCUUCAAACCAACUGUGGGGUGAGAUUCCAAGCAAUAUUGGUCACACACUUCCAAAUCUUCUAGACUUCAGAAGUUGUUUUAAUCUAUUGACCGGAAAUAUUCCAGUGUCUUUGCACAAUGUCACCGGCAUUCGAUCAAUUCGAAUGUCCAACAACUUUCUUGAAGGAACGGUUCCACCAGGCCUGAGUAAUUUGCCAUUCCUUGAAACGUACAACAUUCGUUUCAAUCGGAUUGUAAGCUAUGGUGAUGAUGGUCUCAGUUUCAUUACUUCUUUGACAAAUAGCACCCGUCUAAAGUAUCUUUCCAUUGACGAAAAUCGUCUGCAGGGUGUAAUUCCAGAGUCCAUUGGCAAUCUCUCCAAGGUUCUCUCACAGUUAUACAUGGGAGGCAACCGAAUUUAUGGUAACAUACCAUUAUCAAUUGGUCAACUCAGUGGUUUAGCUUUACUAAAUGUAAGCUACAAUUCAAUUUCUGGUGAAAUUCCAUCAGAAAUAGACCAGCUGAAAGAGCUGCAAACGCUUGGUUUAGCAAGAAACAAAAUGUCCGGCCCAAUACCAAACUCCCUAGGUAAUCUCAGAAAGUUGAACCACGUUGAUUUAUCUGGAAAUUACUUUGUUGGCCAUGUACCCCCUACGUUUGCAAGCUUUGAGAGAUUGCUUUCCAUGGACUUAUCAAACAAUUUGCUCAACGGAACCAUUCCAAGAGAAAUUCUAAACCUCUCUAGUUUGAGCACCAUUCUGAAUUUGUCUAACAACUUUCUAAGUGGACCUUUGCCUGAAAUUGGGUUACUACAAAAUGUUGUCACUGUAGACCUCUCUGACAAUGCCUUAUCUGGAUCCAUUCCCAGCUCAUUUGCAAAGUGUACAAUCUUGGAGGAGUUGUUCAUGGCCAGAAAUAAUCUCUCUGGUUCUCUUCCAAAUGCCCUGGCAGAAAUGAGAGGUCUUGAGAUUCUAGACCUCUCCUCAAACCAGCUCUCUGGGUCCAUUCCUGAUGAACUUAAAGAGCUACAUGCCCUUAGCUACUUGAACCUCUCCUUUAAUCACUUGGAAGGAGUAAUUCCUAAUGGUGGAGUAUUUGUUAAAAAUACCUCUAAUGUCCAUCUAGAAGGCAACCCAAAACUUUGCCGGGACGGACCAUGUGGGAAGAGUGGCAAUCAGAGGAGAAAAGUACUGGUCCUAGUACUCAUCAUUGCUGCUGCUUUGGUUACACUAGCAGUAUGUACUGCGGUUGGUUGUUUGCUUUAUUUUAGGAAACACAAAGGCUCCGGCUACGAAGCAACAAGUAGAGAAACUAGAUCUUCUGACUUAUUAAAUGGGGAGCAUCAAAUGGUCACAUAUGAAGAGCUACGUGUGGCAACUGGUAAUUUCAACCAGGAAAACUUGAUUGGAAGUGGGGGCUUUGGGUUUGUGUAUAAAGGGUAUUUAAGAGAAGGAAUUGAAGUCGCAGUGAAAGUGCUUGAUGUACAAAUUAAAGGCUCCUGGAAGAGCUUUUUGGCGGAGUGCGAGGCGCUGAGGAGUGUGAGGCACAGAAAUCUUGUUAAGCUGAUCACAUCAUGCUCCAGCUUGGACUUCAAGAACAUGGAGUUUCUGGCUUUGGUUUAUGAGUAUCUGAGUAAUGGGAGCUUGGAAGACUGGAUAAACGGCAAGAGAAAAAAUGCAGAUGGAGAUGGAUUGAACAUUGUGGAGAGACUGAAUGUGGCCAUUGAUGUUGCUUGUGGAUUGGACUAUUUGCAUCAUGACUGUGAAGUUCCAGUGGUGCACUGUGAUUUAAAGCCCAGCAACAUUCUCUUGGACACAGAUAUGACCGCAAAGAUUGGAGAUUUUGGACUAGCUAAGUUGCUGAUGGGGAGAACAAUGAGCACUCAACAUUCCCUUAGCUCCACAAAUUUCCUAAAGGGUUCUAUUGGAUACAUACCCCCAGGUUAGUACUAAUCAAACUGCCCUCUUUUGAUUAGGGCCAUCUGGUAACGUUUUCAGAGAAUGUUUUUUUAGAAUAUUUCAAAUAAUGAAAACAAGAAAACAAAUUUGUAUUUUCAGGAAAUGAAAAUACGUGUGGUAAAUUAAUUAGAAAACAUCUUCAGAAAACAAAAACAAUGAAAACGUGUUUGGUAAUACAAUUUGAAAUAAUAAUAUGUGAGUUAUUUUUAUGAAAACGUUUCCCAUGAGAAUGAAAACAACUUUUUUUUUCGUUUUCUACAAGUACACAUGAACUUGUUUUCAUUUUAUGAAAACAUUCUCAAUGUUUUCUGUUUUUGCCUCAUUUUGUUCUCUGAAAAUAAAAACAACCCCUUAAAACAUUACUUAAUGAGGCCGCAAUUGAUAUAACUUUGGUGGUCAUUACUUCAAAUAAUUCAGUUCUGAAUUAUUUCCACUCUUGAAAAGUUAUUUAGUUAGGUUCAAUAUUUCAUGAUCUUCCAUCAUACUAAGUUAUCAUUUUUCAAAAAAAAAAUUAGUGUUUUGUGUCAAGUUCUAAUUUACAGUACAUGCUACAUUAUCGAAAUUUUAUGCAUGGUGGCAUUGAUGUUUGAUCAAUAUUCGUAACAUCGAUUAAGUAUUGUUAAUGUAUCAAGUAUUGUAGAUUGAUAAUCGGUAGCAAUUAAUAUCACCAUGUAUUGGUUGGUCAUAUAGUAUGCUGACUUUGAGAUUGAACUACAAUGUAGAGUAUGGGUUUGGACAAAAACCAUCGACAGCAGGAGAUGCAUACAGUUUUGGUGUAAUGCUGUUGGAGCUCUUUACUGGGAAAAGCCCAACCCAUGAAAGAUUCACAGGGGACCAAAACCUCAUCAAAUGGGUGCAGUCAAGUAUCCCUCACAACAUGACCAAAGUGAUAGACUCUCGGAUGCUAGACUAUCUGCCCAAUGAAGACCCAAGAACCAUCCCAGAACUAGAACGUAAUUGCUUGAUCUCAAUUCUGGAGGUUGGCCUCUCUUGCAGUUGUGCCUUGCCUGAUGCCCGCAUUAGCCUGAGGGAAGCCCAUUACAAACUGGAAACUGCUAGACAGACCCUUUCCAGUGUUAGUCACGUGGAGAGUGUUAAGCAUUAACUUGAACAACAAUUGCAUGUUGUUGAAUGUAGAAAUUAUAAUAAGUUAACAGUUUGGAUAGUGAAAUUGGCUAUAAAGCCUGAACUUUUGGGUUUAAUUUUGAUUAUGGGUAUAGUAGUUGUGUGAAUUGUCUAAAUUAGGGCUUAUUAAUGUUUUGUCAAUGGGGGAUCAGGUUUACCGUGAAUAAUGGGUUGUUGUCAAAUAACAUCACAAGAACUCUUCCUAAAAAUCUCAGUCACUUGACAAAUCUUCAAGUGUUGAAUAUGGCACGAAACAAUCUCCAUGGUCCAAUCCGGCUUUCCCUUCUAUUGAUUCUCUUGACUUGCGAGCUAUAUUUUUUUAAUAUUAUAUUUAAAUGGUAUAGCCGUGCGGCUAUACUAUUUAAAUAUUCGAAUGUAUUUAAAGGGUACAGGCUGCACAAUUUAAAUUAAAAAGUAUAGCCGCGCGGCUAUACUAUUUAAAUAUUUAAAUAUAUUUAUGUCAGCUGUAUCCGAAAAGCUUUCUUCCUUGCUGUGAAAAUGUUGGGUUGAACUCUCCGAGUAUUAGGGUUUACAAAAAAUGCAUGUGAGAUUUCAGAUCACUCUCACUGCGUUGAGCAAGAAAAUGGGUCUCUGCUCUCUCUCUCUCUCUGGAGAAGACUGCGAGCAAGUCAUCCCCUUUUUUGAGCUUAUAAAAAUAGUCCCUCAUAAAUAAUUUUAAACAGUGCGUUUUCAGAGAUUCCUUUAAACAAAUUAAGAAUGACCAUUUUUCCUUUUUUUGUAUUUGGAAAGUUAAAGUAAUGGGAAUGCGUGGGGAUUAGGUGUAAAUAAAAGGGUGUCUAACAGGAAGGAAAAAAAAAAAGUUUAGCACUUAAAUAAACUAUACAUUAAGGUUUGAAUUUAAAUUAGUAGUUGUAGACUUGUAGUAAAGAAGAAAUAAUUAUAAUUUUUUUUCAAUGAUACUAUUUGUAGCACCUAUCUUUCCUCUCCGAUUACAAGUCUCAUCUUCUUUGAUGUUGACUUGAGAGAAAUUACGUGAAGUUAUUGAGAUGAGUGAAAAUAAUAUUUUAAGUUGAAAAGUCUUCCCCCAACAUUAGUGCGCUUUGUUGCAACUUGUAGGUUUGUGAAAAGUUUAUCUACACGGUUGUGUCUUGGGGACGUAUGUAUGUGCGAUGAACGAGUUUGAGGACUUGACAAAUAUCUUUCCCUUAGACUUGUUUCAGUCAUAGAAAUGACCAUUUCCCAUUAGGCUGCAACUAACUAAUUCAAAGGGGAGGGGAUGGAGUGGAGAUGGGUCAACAGAUAAUACGAUACGAAGGAGAAAAUGAAGCCAACACAACCCACUUGAGACUUUUUUUUUCUUGUUUACCAAAUAAAUUAAACAAAAGCUGCUAGUGGAACACAAAAGCUUAUAAAUAUCACAUCACCUAUUCCAUUUCCAAGACUUGUAAAACAGAAACAAACCAAGAGAAGAUAUAUGGGCUACCUGUAUUUCUUGUAUUCAUAUUUGUGAGCGUUGAGCCAAAAUUCAAGUUCAACGUUGGACAACCAGAAAUAAGGUAGCAUAUAUACAGUACCGAUCAAGGAUUCGGGCUUAUAAAUUUGUCUUAUUCCAUCAGAGUUCAAAAACAGAAAAAGAAAAAAGAAACCUAAGAGAUAUGGUUUCCCAAUUCCAUCUAUUGCCUCAAACAUUUGCCAUUAUAUUCUCUCUUCUUCUAUGCAUAUUUGUGAGCGUUGAGACAGCCAGACCAACGCCAAGCAUUGCCACGGACAAGGAGGCUUUGAUCUCAUUCAAGUCAGGGGUCAGUCUCCCUCCAUCUUUUUGGGACCAAAAUUCAUCUCCAUGCACCAACUGGACUGGAGUUGUUUGCAACAAACUUGGCAACAGAGUUGUUGCUCUUCAUCUUUCCGGCUUGGGACUUACAGGCUCCAUUAGCCCCCAUAUUGGUAACCUCUCCUUCCUCCGUUCCCUUCAACUUCAAAAUAACAAAUUAACAGGAAACAUUCCCUCUCAAAUUCUCCACCUUUUCCGCUUGACAUCUCUAAACUUGAGCUCCAACACCAUACAAGGUCCCCUGCCAUCAAACCUGACCCAAUUGACUGCCCUCCAAACACUUGACCUAGCCUCAAAUAACAUCACAGGAACACUUCCUGAAAAUCUCAACAGCUUGAAAAAUCUUCAAGUCUUGAAUUUGGCACGAAACAGACUCCAUGGUCCAAUCCCACCAUCCAUAAGCAACCUCUCUUCCACCCUCACACAUUUGAACUUAGGCACAAAUAGUCUCAGUGGUACGAUACCCAGUGAAUUGGGUUUCCUUUACAAACUCAAGGAACUUGAUCUUGCAGGUAACCAACUCACUGGGACUGUUGCCCUGUCCAUAUACAACAUCUCUUCUCUACUUCUCUUCACUGUAGCUUCAAACCAACUGUGGGGUGAGAUUCCAAGCAAUAUUGGUCACACACUUCCAAAUCUUCUAUACUUCAGAAAUUGUUUUAAUCUAUUCACCGGAAAUAUUCCAGUGUCUUUGCACAAUAUCUCCGGCAUUCGAUCAAUUCGAAUGUCCAACAACUUUCUUGAAGGAACGGUUCCACCAGGCCUAGGGAAUUUGCCAUUCAUUGAAAUGUACAACAUUGGUUUCAAUCGGAUUGUUAGCUACGGUGGUGAUGGUCUCAGUUUCAUCACUUCCUUAACAAACAGCACCCGUCUCCAAUUCCUUGCCAUUGAUGGUAAUCAUUUAGAGGGUGUAAUUCCAGAGUCCAUUGGAAACCUGUCCAAGGUUAUCGAAAAAUUGUACAUGGGAGGGAACCGCAUUUUCGGUCACAUACCCUCCUCAAUUGGUCAACUCAGUAGCUUGACUUUGCUGAAUGUAAGCUAUAAUUUGAUCUCUGGCGAAAUCCCACCUGAAAUAGGCCAGCUGGAAGAAUUGCAAGUGCUUAGUUUAGCUGCAAACAAAAUGUCUGGUCAUAUUACAAACUCCUUAGGUAAUCUCAGAAAGCUGAACAACAUUGAUUUAUCCAGAAAUUCCUUUGUUGGCCAUAUACCCCCUUCCUUUGCAAACUUUCAGAAGUUGCUUUCCAUGGACUUAUCCAACAAUUUGCUCAAUGGAAGCAUUUCUACAGAAAUAUUUCAAAACCUCCCUAGUUUGAGCACCAUUCUGAAUUUGUCUAACAACUUUCUGAGUGGUCCUUUGCCUGAAGAAAUUGGGCUCCUAGGAAGUGUGGUCACUAUAGACCUCUCAGACAACCGCUUGUCUGGAUUGAUCCCCAACACAAUUGGAAAGUGUACAAGCUUGGAAGGAUUGUUGAUGGCGAGAAAUAAACUCUCUGGUCCUCUUCCUAAUGUUCUUGGAGAUAUGAGAGGUCUUGAGAUUCUAGACCUCUCCUCAAACCAGCUUUCUGGGUCCAUUCCUGACAAACUUGAAGACCUACAGGUCCUGAGCUACUUGAACCUCUCCUUUAAUCACUUGGAAGGAGUAAUUCCUAAAGGUGGAAUCUUUGUUAAAAAUAGCUCUAGUGUCCAUCUUGAAGGCAACCCAAAGCUUUGCCUGCAUUCGUCAUGUGUGAAUCCUGGCGGUCAUAGGAGAAAAGUACUGAUCCCAGUUCUUAUUUCGACUGUUUUGGCAACAUUGGCAGUAUGUGUCAUAGUUGGUUGUUUGCUCUAUGUCAGCAAAAGCAAAGCAAGAGUUACAGAAACUAAUUCUGAUUUGUUAAUAAAAGGGCAGCAUCAAAUGGUUACAUAUGAAGAGCUACGUGGCGCAACUGGGAAUUUUAGCACGGAAAAUUUGAUUGGAAGCGGGAGCUUUGGGUCUGUAUACAGAGGGUGCCUAAGAGAUGGAAUUGAAGUAGCAGUUGGAAAGUUGAGAAACCUAGCAAGGGUUUAUAAGGAGUUGGGUUACUCCCCCCAUUGCCAAUUGGUUUUGGGGUGGAACCUCAACUUCCUUCAUGGUAUCAGAGCGGGUUGCCCACGUGUGAAAGCCCAACGGCCACACGUGCUCCACGUCACCCAAAAUGUGUUGUCCACGUGUUAGGUUUGAAAAUUCGCCACACGUGCGGGGGCGUGUGAGAAUGUGAAGGUAAAGAGUCCCACAUUGGAAAGUUGAGAAACCUAGCAAGGGUUUAUAAGGAGUUGGGUUACUCCCCCCAUUGCCAAUUGGUUUUGGGGUGGAACCUCAACUUCCUUCAGUAGUGAAGGUGCUUGAUAUGAAAAGGACAGGAUCGUGGAAGAGUUUUUUGGCAGAGUGUGAGGCCUUGAGGAGCGUGAGGCAUCGCAAUCUUGUCAAACUGAUCACAUCAUGCUCCAUCUUGGACUUCAAGAACAUGGAUUUUUUGGCUUUGGUGUAUGAGUAUCUGAGUAAUGGGAGCUUGGAAGAUUGGAUUCAGGGUAAGAGAAAGAAUGCUAAUGGAGAUGGAUUGAACAUUGUGGAGAGACUGAAUGUGGCCAUUGAUGUUGCUUGUGGAUUGGAUUAUCUGCAUCAUGAUUGUGAAGUUCCAGUGGCGCACUGUGAUUUAAAGCCCAGCAACAUUCUUUUGGACAGAGAUAUGAUUGCAAAGAUUGGAGAUUUUGGGCUGGCCAAGUUGCUGAUAGAAAGAACAAGCAAUAACGUUCUCAGCUCCACAGAUGUGCUAAAGGGUUCCAUAGGAUAUAUGCCACCAGGUCAGUAUUAAGUUCUCAUUUGAAGUAUUUGGUUUACCUUAUAUGUCAAGUUAGCUAUGUUUUAUGAUUGUUUUUUUUCUUUUUCUUCUAGUUUGUUUGGUUUAUUAAGAAUGAACUAUGAUGCAGAGUAUGGUUUUGGACAAAAGCCAUCGACGGCCGGAGAUGCAUACAGUUUCGGAGUAGUGUUGUUGGAGCUGUUUACUGGGAAAAGCCCAACCCAUGAAAGUUUCACAGGAGACGAAAACAUUAUCAGAUGGGUGCACUCAGCCUUCCCUCAAAACAUUGCCCAAGUACUAGACUCUGAGCUGCUACACCUCAUGCAGCAUCCGCCCAAUGAAUUAGAACGUAAUUGCCUGACUUCAAUUAUAGAGGUUGGGCUAUCUUGCACCUCUGCUUCGCCUGAGGGACGCAUUAGCUUGAGGGAUGCCCUCCACAAACUUGAAGCUGCUCGGCAGACCCUUUUCAAGCAUACUCAUGUUGAGACUGAGAGUGCCAAGCAUGAAUUUUAACUACAAACUGGAAAUUGCUUGCAUGUUUAUUUAUGUACUAAUUAAUAGUAUGUUAUAAUAUAUAAUUGAGUGUCGCAUUUCCCUUAUUCGCUCAUCUUAGCGACCAAUACUCAUGUGCCUCAACUGUUAUAUAUGACCCAAAACCAGUUGGGGAGGCCUACCCCACACCCUGCAGCCCAUGCUCAUAGCAAGCCCAAUAGAGGAAGAAGCUGUCACAAGGAAAUUGCCUUCUCGAGAGGAAUGAACUGCAACUGUACACAAGCAUCAAUUGACAGCUCCUUACCUUACCUCCUUUACUAAACUGAACUGAAAUGGCAAGCAAAAAUGUCAGCCUGUCCACGAGGUCAUGGCCCAUGUGUAACACACACUUCAGCCAUCAUGUGAUUUUUUUUUACACAAGUCAAAAUUGACAUGAAGCUAAUAAGUUCCAAUUAACUUUUAUUUGACACCAACACAAAUAUGACAUAAUAUGUUAAAUAAAAAAUAACGUAUCGAAUUAGUGUUAAACUUAAUAUGCUUGUGGAUGAAAUAAGACAUUAUAAACCACAAGGUGUAGUGCGAUUAAUAAACUGUUAUCUUUAAUUGGCGAGUUACCUGAUGCUUUAAUGACAAGAGUUUGAAACUCGUUGGAAGUAUUUUGUGACCAGGAACAAGCCGAACCCCGAGUAGGGAUUAAUCCCACCAUAUGAGUGUGAGGACACCUCAUGAUAUUUACCAAAGAAAUAAGACAUUACGAGUACAUGCAUAUACAUUUGAGUACUCCUCUAUAUUUUGUACAUCAAAUAUAGACUUAUUUACAUCAAUGUCCCUUGAAAUUACAGUCAAAUCUCAUUUUACUUCCCAAAUUUAAAGUGGCACACUUACUCCGCUUGACCAUGGUUUGAUGACCCACUUUGUCUCAUGCCGUUAACUCCAUCCAAAACUCUAUUAAAAUUGAUGACGUGGCAUGAGUGUUUGUGUAAUUUUGUACCAAUGAUUCAUUAUUCACCAAUUGAGGGGUGACGUGUCAAGUGGAGUCCACCUCCACAUGGAUAAAAAUAUAAUUAAAUAUUCUAAUAUUUAAAACUAAUUUAAAAUUUAAAAUAAAACAUUAAAAAAUUUAGAACCAACAAAAUUCUCUCUCUCUCUCUCUCUCUCUCUCACCCAGAUCCCACCCACACCCAUCCCCCUACCCAGCCGCACCGACCAUCGCUCCCUCUCCUUCUCCUUUCUUCAACAACCAUGAAAAAUAAUUAUUAAAAAAAAAAAAACAUGCAAGUCAUCAUCUCCCCUUCGUACCUUCCUCCUUCUCCUUCACCUCCACCUUCCACCUUCCACUCCCACUCCAUCAUGGGAAACAAAAGGCUAUGUGGUGGUAUACUUCUGCUAGGAUUGCCGCAACGCCGAUGCAUCUCCAAUCAAUCUAAGCAAGAACCUAAGACAGAAUUAUUUCCAUGGCGGAAAGUACUUACAUCAAUUGCUAUUGGGGGAGUUAUUGGACUUGGCUUACUCUUGUGCUUUGUGCUUCUUUAUUUAUCAAAAAAAGCAUUGCUCUCUGUGCUUCUUUAUCCAUCAAGAAAAGCAAGAGUGAAGCCAACUUCAGGAUCAGCAUGGGGGGUUUCACUCUUGAAAGUGUCAUAUGCAGAUCUCCUCAAAGCAACUGAUGGUUUGUCUUCUCGGUAUUUGAUUGGUGCUGGUAGUUUUGGUUCUGUGUACAGGGGAAUUCUCAAUGAGGAAGAAAGAAGAAAUUGUUGCAGUCAAAGUACUCAAUGUUCAGAGUUCAAGAGAGCUUUAUAGCUGAAUGUGAAGCCUUGAAAAACAUUAGGCACCGAAAUCUUGUCAAACUAUUGACCGCGUGUGCAAGUAUCCAUUUUCAAGGAAACGAUUUCAAAACUUUGGUUUAUGAAUUCAUGAUGAAUGGUAGUCUAGAGGAGGGGCUGCACAUUUCAGCUAGCAGAGUAGCUGGGGCAUUUUAAUCCCAAAUCCAAAAUGGCAGCCUACAAAUGCAUACAAUUUAAAAACCCAAAAUUGCCCCAUACAACUUUGACUCCCAAACAAUCGCGCCCCACCCCAAGAUCUUCUCGGGUCAACCCCAGAAAAUCAGAUCUUGCUCCCACCCUGUCGUUGUCGACUUCUUUAUUUUUGGCAAAUUUUAAAUUGGGGAUUUUGGGGGCAAGCUCAAUCCACUGUCGUGCUAAGUGAUUGAAGGUGCUGGGUGGGGUUGGGUUUGUGGAAGGGGAUGGUGGAGUGGUGGCGACUGUAGAUGGGUGUGGGUUGGGUUUGGGGUGCAGAGAUGAGAGGAUAGGAGGAAGAUUUUUUAGUUUUUCUUUUAAGUUUAUUUUUAAUUUUUAGUUAUUAAGUAUUUAAUUAUUUUUUAAUCUAUAUGGAGGUGGCCUCCACUUGCCAUAUCACCCACUCAAUUGGUGAAUAAUGAAACAUAAGUCCAAAAUUACACAAACACCCAUGCCACAUCAUCAGUUUUAACAGAGUUUUGAAUGAAGUUGACAACAUGGGAUAAAGUAGGUUACCAAACCAUGAUCAAGAGGAAUAAGUGGGCCACUUUAAGUUUGGGAGGGCAAAGUGAGAUUUGACUAUAGUUUUAAGAGGCAUUUAUGUAAAUAAGCCUCAAAUAUAUGCUUCACUUGUUUUUGGUACCCUCGGCUAAAAGCAAACUUGGAAUUUCAAGACACACUUCUUGGUGCCAAACAAGCACUGGUUAAAGCACUUCCACCCAUUUGUCAUGGCAAGAAAAGGAUUGUUAUUAUUUAUGUGAAUAGUAGCAGCCCUUGCAAAAGGCUUGAGGUAUUCCCACCCAUUGUCAUGGCAACCUAAGGGCAACCAUUAUUCACAUGAGAUAUGAGGAGAGGAAUUUGUAUAGAGUUUUGGUGUGAGAAGUGAAGAAUAUGACUAAGUAUUUAUUAAAAAAAAUUCUGAAAUAUUUUGUAUUUAAUUUUUUUUCGGUGUUGACUUCAUCACUGAUGUCAGCAAACCCAGACAAUGGCCCAUGUUAUUCUUGCCUUUGAGCUGACCCGGUUUGCUGAGACCCAGUUGGCAACUGUUGCCCUGACAGCUUAAGCCCGCUAGAAUGCCAAAAUGGGGCUUGGGCCCCUUCCUGCCCUGACAAGGGCUCACCAGUGGAAUUGCUAUUACAUACAACAAGCUACACAUCUAGAGGCCCAUUACCCAGCUUCCCAUUUUUCCCGAGUGUAGACUUAGCCAUUGCAAGCAUUAAAAAAACAAACUCAAUUUAUUAAUAACUCAAUCAAAAUAAAUGAAAUACAAUUUUCCUCAAGAACAUAAUGUUUCUUAUGCUUAAUACAUUUAGUUUGAUAUGUAUAUUGUGUAUAUGAUCAGAUGACUUGACAGUGACAAAACUCUGAUAACUGACGGUGACAAAAAAAAAAAAAAAAAAACUCUUGUCAUAUGAUGUUCUUAUCUUCCUCAUUUAGUUUUCUUCUGAUGACUUAUAUUUUGGUUCAUACAUGUAAUUAUAUUUUGAGGUAUAUAUGUGAGUGACAGAUAAAGAUUCAUCCUAUUUCUCUAUCAUAUUGGUUAUCUUCUCAUACAUGUAUCUUGCUAGGUUUCCCAACAUAACAAAAUAUAAAAGGAAAAGGUGCAAGAGUUAAUUUUUUGUUGUUGUAGAAGCUAGUUUAGGAAUAAAUUAAAUGAAUGGGGAGAGUGAAGCUUCAAAUUAAGAGGGAUUGAGAAUACGACUAAUAUAGACAAGUCAUUUUUCUCGAGGCUUUUCAAGAAAGCCUAUGAACUCUCUGUUCUUUGUGAUGUUGAUGUAGCUUAGCUCUUAUCAUGUUUUCUCCAUAUGAGAGACUCAAUUUUUUCUAUGACCAUAAAAGAUGAUCAUCUGGCUGCUUCUAUAUACAUGAUUAAUCUUUUAAAAGCUGCUCAAGUAUUGUAGGUUGAUAAUCGGUAGCAAUUAAUUACUAUGGUUGGUUUUAGUUUGCUGAUUUAGAUUGAACUACAAUGUAGAGUAUGGUUUUGGACAAAGAACCAACGACAGCAGGAGAUGCAUACAGUUUUGGUGUAAUGUUGUUGGAACACUUUACUCUAAUUGAUUGAUUUCAAUUGUUGACCUGAGGUUGGGCUCUCUUGCAUCAGCUUUCAGGGAAGCGCUGCUAGACCUACACCGUUUUCAAUUUUGGCCACGUUGAGAGUGUUAAGCUUUAAUUUGAACAACAAUUGCAUGUUAAUGUAUAAAUUAUAAUAAAUUAACAACUUAUCAUAAUAAUAAACGUAAUUAGUAUACCCCAUGUAACGGAGACGGAUUCAGGAUUUGAAAAUAGGGCGGGCUAAAUUUAUCUUACAUACAAACUUAGAAAACUUGUACGAGUGAAUUUCAUUGAAGUAUGAAUUUUAAGGUCAAUUAACAAUUACAUGAUAAACUUCUCCAUGAAAGGAAAAUAAUUGAAAGCAUUUAUUAUCCAUUAUAAAAGAAGAAGAAGAAAAAAAAAAAGAACCAUUUUAAUCCAUCCAACGCAACUUGAAAAAUAAAAAUGAGAAGAAGUAGCCAAAAUUUAUAAGGAAAAAAAAUGAAUUGACGUUUUAUGUACACUAGAAAAGGUUAAAAAAAAAAAGAGAUUUUCUGUGGGCGGGAUCACUAGGAUGGGGUGUGUGGAGUGGAGGUGUACUUUGGUGAGCUGAGUAUUAAUAUUGGACUAUAAAAUAUCAAGUCACCGAAACUAUAGCUCAUGUUAGCAUGGACGUAGGACCGUCCCUGUCAUAUAAUAAGCGAAAUAAAUUUGCGUUAUAUCUUGGUUAAUACAGCGAUUUUGGUAGAUGCACAACUUGUCUUUAAAAUAUUUCCUUCUUAUUACUUAUUUACCGAUUAAUUUCUAAAAAUUAGAACUCAAAUUAGUAUCAUACGAAAUCAUUUCAUAAAUAACACCAUUGAAAUUAUAUUUAUGUGAUGAAGCAUAAUUGUCAUUGCCCAUAUGUGGAUUAAAUAAAAAGAAAAAAACAUCAACAACCAGAAGGGUAAGCAAAAUGUUUAGUGUUUGUUUGUGCUUUGGGUUGACUUGAUUUUGAUGUUUUGGGUUGAACUUAAAAUUUGAGAGUCCAAAUUGAAAUCAAAAUAUCAGUUUCCAAAGAAAGCCGAAGCCAAAACUAUCCCGCCCAAGUAUCAAACCAAAACACCUAAAAAGGGACCCGCCUAGUACCAAAUCUUUAUGCCCCAAAUGAAAAUACGAAAGUUUCAAACUUUUUAACCCAAACAUUUUUCAGACCCAAAAAAAAAAAAAUCAGUUUAGAUUGACUAAGCGCGCAAUUUUAACUUCAAAAAAAAUAAAACGACCCAAAAUUUUCAAAUUUGGUUCAUCGAAAAUAAAAGUCACGUGGAAACCCGGCCCCACACAGAAAAAUUCCCAAAAUUUCAAUUUUGUCCAGGGGAACGACAAAACGCUCCAAAAAUAAUAGAAAACAAAAUAAAACGCUCCAAAAUCCAAAAUCCCCAAAUUUUAGCUGCAACUAAAAAAUUCACGUCAAAUCAAACAGCGCCAAAAGCACAAAUUUUCGAAGCAGAGUUGAGCAUGGCGCUCUAUUUUCUCUCUCAAAACUUCAAAACCCACCCUCUCUUUCAUUCUCACUACAUAUUGCCAUCACCGCUCAGAGUCUUACACCUCAAACUCUGCGCUUUGCUUUCUCUCUCUAUCUCUCUCACAGUCCAACCCGAGCCACGACAUCAAGUAAAGACCAAAGCUCGACCAGUGCAGAGCAAUGGCUUCUACCACCGUGGCCGAGCAACUGAACUGCACUCGCAUCACUACUCGUGCUGCGGCGAAGCGGAGGGCGAUGGCCGCCUUGGUUGAGGAGCAUCAGCUGGCUACCAAGAAGCGCGCGGUGCUUGGAGAUGUUACGAACUUGGUCAACGUCGUCGUUUCGGCCAACCACAAAUCUUAUGGUGAGUUGCAGAAACCGAAUUGUGCAAUCAAGAAGGAGGAGAAGAAAGCCGUAGCAACACGUGACAUUGAGGAUCCGCAACUGUGUGGACCUUAUGCUUCGGACAUUUAUGCCUAUCUUCGUAGAAUGGAGGUGCACAGAUCCCAUCUUUGUUUCUUCAGAUUUUGAUUUCUUCAUUUGAUAAUCAGAACGGUCUUGGACUUUUCAACUUAAAAUUGAUAUUGGGAAAAAGGUUUUUGGUUUCAAUUUUGAUAGUGAAAUUGGCUAUAAAGCAUUAAGAUCCAAUUGGUAGGAUUUUGGGUUUAAUUUUGAUUCUGGGUAUGGUAGUUUUGUGAAUUCUCUAAAUUAGGGUUUAAUGUUUUGUCAAUUGGGGAUUAGGCUCACCGUGAAUAAUGGGUUGGUUUCUUUAGGUGGAACCAAAGAGAAGGCCGUUGCCUGAUUACAUGGAGAAGGUUCAGAAAGAUGCUAAUGCUAAUAUGAGAGCGGUCCUUGUGGAUUGGCUUGUGGAGGUUGCAGAGGAAUAUAAGCUCCUUCCAGACACGCUUCAUCUCUCCGUUUCUUAUAUCGAUAAGUAUCUAUCGAUCAAUGUGGUCAAUAAGCAGAAGCUUCAGCUAUUGGGAAUUGCUUCAAUGUUCAUUGCAUCGUAAGCUCACAAAUCUUUGAAUCUGUCGUCUGAUUGGUACAACUGUUUUACUUCUGAUGAUGAUGUGAAGUUACUGUAAGUAUUAUUCUUACAUUUUCAUGAUUUCUUAAUUUAUAGGAAAUAUGAAGAGAUUACUCCUCCAAAUGUGGAUGAGCUCUGUGACAUAACAGAAAAUACGUAUACAAAAGAAGAGGUAUUUGACGUUUUACUUGGGGUUUUAUCCCUGAAAAUGAUCUAUUUAUACCUCAGAUAGAUGCAUUUGCUUUAUACUAAGAGUAAAUUUUUCGGUGGGUUGUAAAGGUGAUCAAGAUGGAAGCCGACAUUCUCAAGUCCCUGAAAUUUGAAAUGGGCAAUCCUACUACUCGGACAUUCUUAAGGUAAGGAUGUGCUGACAAUGAAAACACUCUGUUUUGGUUGGGUAAUGUAAUUACUUGCCAAGCUUAAAUGACUUAUGACUGAUUGUUUUUGUUCCUUUGAUGAAUUGUUUUGCAGAAAAUUCACUGAUAUUGCUCAAGAGAAUUACAAAGUAAGCUUCCCCCUUCCCUCUCACACACACACACACACACAUGUGGGCUUACCAAGUUUAUAGUCUCUCAUACUGACUGCUUUAUUGUUUUGUGUGGUUUACAGACUCCCAAUUUGCGGUUAGAGUUCUUGGUUUGCUACCUUGCUGAGCUGAGUUUAUUGGAUUACAAACUUGUGAAGUUCCUGCCUUCUUUGGUAGCUGCAUCAGUUGUUUUUCUGGCACGAUUUAUGACUAGAACAAAAAUACAUCCUUGGGUAAGGGUUUGAUAAAUUACUUGUGCUGAUUUUGAUGUCUGAAAGCAAUUACUAAGUCGUAUCGUAUCCAUUUCAGUGUCCAGCCCUGCAACAGUAUACUGGAUAUAAAGCAGCUGAUUUGAAAGAAUGUGUUCUUGCCAUACAUGACAUGUGCUUGGGUAGAAGAGCACGAAAUUUGAAUGUUAUUCAAGAGAAAUACAAACAACUUAAGGUAUUGUUUAUCAGAAGUAGGUUUGACCUUUUCUUAUUUUCCAAAUUUUAGAAAUGCAAAACAUGGUUCUAAUGGAGUCCUUUUCCUUUAACGCAGUUCAAAUGUGUGGCACACACUCAUUGCCCUCAAGAUAUACCAGCUUCUUUAUUUGAGGAUCUGAAAACAUGAAAGUACAAUCCUUGUAGCAAGGGCUUGUCCAAUGUGAUAGUAAGAUCUGGAUAUAAGUUUUAUUGGGUGUGCUUGAUUGAUUGGAGGGUUGAUGGCGAUGGCUGAUGGUGUUUGCCAAUUGCUAUUGGGUGAGGAUGGGGCAUCAUUCUGCUUUGCGCCAGAUUACAACUUGAUUGACCUUUGUGUUGGAUUUCUGGGAAGCAGCUGGUUCUAUAUUAUCAUUCAGCAAAUACACUUCAGCUAGCGCAGAUCAAAACUGAGUAAGCUGUGAUGCAGGGUAUGGUCUAGUGGUGAACCAAAUGAGCUGACCCAAAGGGUAGCACUUAAGCAGACUGAUGCUGUAAACUUUCCACCCGAUGUGGUGCAAUUGCAACGAUGGGUGCAUGGCAUCUAAUCGUAGUGUGCCAACAAAGAAAAUAUACAUGAUUGCUUUAUCACCUUAACAGCUGGGUUGCAUUUGUUUAGCCACAGACGUAAUGACGCACGAGAAGAGUGUUGCUGUUGUCAAACUGAAACAGCCAGGCCAGCGGCUAUAAUUUACUUUUGUGGUUAGGUUAACUAGGAGUUUACUGUUAGUUUUAGUUACGUUAAAUACUUGUUACAUCAGUUACAUUAGCUGAGGGCUAAUCUUGUAGCCUAUAUAUACUGUAACACUGUCAUGUUAAUAAUUAAUGAGAAUGUUUACUUUCAGAACUCUCUGAUUUUCCACAAUCAGGCCUCUCAUUGACAAAGCUAAUUAUCUCCCCACCCCAGGUUGCAUAUGUUUUACAGGCAGUGUCCUGAUGGAAAUUUGCAAGUUUUGUUACCUUUAUAUCCUUGCUGGUUAAGUUUGGACUGUGCAGUGAAAUUGCUGGUCAAGUUUUGUUACCUUCACAUCAAUUUGGAAUGAUGUGAAAUACUAAUACAAGGUAUGGGGGAGGAAAGUAAGUUAAUUCAACGAGAAGUAAUAUUAAUAAUAGGAAACUAAUGCCAUCUUUGAUUUCUCGAUCUAUCAAUGAAGUUAAACACAAAAAGUUAAGGAUGGGAAGUAGGGAUAUGAAAAUGAGGGAUAAACUACAGUAAAUCCCCCGGGUCAUUUAUGAGUCCCUACUCGAUUUUGGGGACAUUUAUGGGUACAUACUCAACGUCGCGAAAAACUUACAAAUUGCCCCCUCUGUUAGUGAGUCUAUAAGGAAAUCCAUUAUCUGCCUACGUGGCAAAUGUGGGUUCCAUUUUUUAAUUGACGUGAACUUACAUGUGGACAAAUAAAUAAUAAAAAAUUAUAUACAUGUUAAAAAUAAUAUUAAAAUAAUAUUAAAAUCAUUAAAAAUGAAAAAAAAUAAAAUAGAAAAAGGUAAAAGGACGCAAACAGCCCCAUUCCAACCCCUCCCUUCCAGCCCAACCUCCAACCCACCCUCCCCACACCCUCCGAUUUGAACGCGUUCGAUUUGAAAGAACAAGCUCAAGCCGUUUGAACGCCCAGUUCUGUUUGAAAGAACACCUAGUUUUAUUUGAACGCGUUCGAUUUGAAAUCGUUCUCGGCCGGACUAGACCUGUCCGGGCUGUUCAAAGACCAUUCGUACGGCUCGCUGAAGGACAACGAGCGUUUCGUGUUGGAGGAGACGAUGGAGAAGGUGGAGAAGGAGAAGACGAUGCCCUCCUCCUUCCUCUGCCGCUUCUUCGUCCUUGUCGCUUGCCCAGUUAAUUGACUGAACAUCGGUAAUCCCUGACCAGCCUAGGUUGCUGGGGAGGGAAGUCCAUUCCUUGAAUUAUACUGAAAGAAUUCGGAUUCUGAUAUUUUUCUCAGCCAAGCGUUUUCUAUUUCAUAGGCAUUGACGUUUGGGAUGUGAAAUUUGAACGGCCUCGAUGCCGUGAGGCUAAUCGAAAUUUGGGAUGUGAAAUUUGAAGUUGAACUCAGCUAUGGUUUGGGGACGGCGACGACAACGACAUCGUUUUGGGGUUUGUGGUUUGGGGAAAGCGAUCAGAUCUGUGGCAUGAGGGAGGUGUUAAGGCUGGGAUGGGUGGCCUGAGUAAGCUUGGGUAGUGGUUUGGGUGGCUGUGAGCUAGGAGGAGAGGAGAUCGGGACAGAGAGAGAGAGAGAGAGAGAAUUUGGGUAGGGUUUUUUGUUUUUGUUUUUAAAUUUAAUAUAAUCAAUUUUAAAAUAAUUUUAAUGAUUUAAAAUUAGUUUUGAAAAAUAUAUAAUUUUUUAUUAUUUAUUUGUCCACCUAUAAGUCCACCUCAUUAAAAAAUGGAACCCACAUUUGCCACAUAGGUAGAUAACGGAUUUUCUGACGGACUCGCUAACGGAGGGGGCAAUCUGUAUGUUUUCCGCGACGUUAAGUAUGUACUCAUAAAUGUCCCCAAAAUUAGAUAUAAACUCGUAAAUGACUCUAUAGGUUGGGGGGUUUGCUGUAGUUUACCCUAAAAUGAAUGUGAAAAUAGGAAACUAAUCAAAAGCAAAAAAACUUAAGAAGGGAUGCAAAAGACAAUGACCAACAUUCAAAUAGGGGGAAUGGGGAAAUUUAGGGUCUAUUCAUAAUUAUUAAAAACAAAAAAUAUCUGUUUUUUUAGUUUUUUUUCUAACAACCCACAAGUUCUCAAAUUUUUAUGAUUUGAAAAUAGUUUUCAAGUUGACUACCAAACAAGUUUUUGAAUCUUAAAAAUAGAUUUAAGAACUCCUUGUUUUUAAGAAAAAUCAACGUUUUUAGAGUUCUCUAUUUGAAUAAGAUACCAAAUGGCCCCUUACUUUUUUCUUUAUCCCUCAUGUUUUAGAAAGCAAAAUUUGUUUGUAACAAAAAAAAAAGAAAAAAAAAAAGAAGAAGCAAAGUUUGCAGAUUGCUUUUUUUUUUUUUUUUUUUUUCUUGUAUCUAAUCUUUAAGAUAUUCGUAUUUUUUAAACUUUUCAAUUUAACUCUUACUAAUUUUCAAAUUUUUUAAGAGAUCGAUGAAACAUGUGGGGGUGUAGAGUGGACUAAAAUGUUCAAUUGUUUAAAAAUAAAUAAGUUUGGCAAAGUGUUUUAUUUUUAGAAGAAAAAAAAAAUCAUACGCGUAAAUUUUAUAUUAAUUAGUGAAAAAUUAAUUGUAAAUUUUUUAAUUUUUUUAAUUUUAUUGAUAAGGGUAAAAAAGGAAAGAUAAAAAAUAAAUAAAUGGCAAACACAUUCCAAAAUUUCAAAAUUGAAGCAAUUCAAAGCAGGGAACCAAAAUGGAUCCGAAAACAUUAAAACAGAAACCCAAAGGCGCCAACUUUAGUUUUCAAAGUGGCGCUCCCAUUUUACUCACUACAAAACUCUCUUCUUUCUCUUUCCCCCCUCAAAACCUUUCUCUCUCUCUAACCCAACCAAAACCUCGACACUCACAGAUUCGCUAGGGCCAUGGCGGAGAAGGAGAACUGCGCCCGGGUCACAAGGUCAAUGAAGAGGAGGGCCGAAGCUGCCAUGGGCCAAGAGCAGCCGGCCACCAAGAAACGCGUGGUCUUAGGAGAGCUCCAUAUCAUCCAAAACGCCGUCGUUCCGGCGAAUAACAAAAGUUCUGCAGUGGAGCCGCAGGUGCAGAAACGCGGAGCCAAAGCCAAGGCGAAGAAAGCGCUGCCCGAGAAGAAAACAGAGACGCCGACGACCCCGGACAUUGAUUCCACGUCGGAUGACCCUCAAAUGUGUGGGCCUUAUGCUCGUGACAUUUAUGAUUAUCUUCACAAGCUCGAGGUAAGGCUUAUCAAAUCGUAUUUAUCUUGUCUGAUAAUGGAAUUUAUUGGAAAAAUGGUAGUUGGGUAUUGCCAAAUGUAGAUUUUUAAUGCGUUCUCGUUGCUCUGAAAGUUGAAUUUAGGAUAAAGACUGAAGCGUUGUGGUGUUUAGUUAUGUUAUUUUGGGUUUUCCUCAGUAGCCAAAAGCUAAGCUUUAUUUAGCAAUUUUUGUCGUCUCUGUGUUUUGGGUUUUUGUUUGAAUUGGAAUUUGGGGUUUAUUUUUCAUAAUGGGUAGGUAUUGGUAUUUGAGAAUGGUUGGUGGCAUUAGGGUCUUGGUCUGAAGUGAAAACUGGUGCAUGAGUUUAUAGCAUUUUUUUAUUUUGAGCAAAUAGGCUAAUGGUGAUGAUGGGUUUACAUUCAGGCGGAUCCAGAUAGAAGGCCUUUACCUGAUUACAUGACAAAGGUUCAAAGGGACAUCACUUCUAAUAUGAGAGGAAUCUUAGUAGACUGGUUGGUGGAAGUUGCAGAGGAAUAUAAGCUCCUUUCCGACACUCUUUUCCUCACCGUUCUGUAUAUUGAUAGAUACCUAUCUUUGAAAGCUCUCGACCGCAAAAGGCUUCAGUUACUGGGUGUUUCUUCAAUGCUCAUUGCCUCGUAAGUCCGCAAGUGAAUGAAAUUUUUGUGUGAAUACUUUCUUACUAAUAUGAAUCCACAUAGUAAUCUUCUUGUUAAUGUGGUAAACAGAAAGUAUGAGGAGAUCAGCCCUCCACAUGUGGAACAAUUUUGUUACAUCACAGAUAAUACAUAUGAUAAGGACCAGGUGAUUUUUAUAGUUCUCUUUCUCAUCUUAGAUUGAUAUUUUCAAAUCACCCUCGCUUUUAUUAUUGUAGUACUUUAGAUGAAUACUUUUGUUCAUUGUAUGCAUUGUAUAGGUGUUAAAAAUGGAAGCUGAUAUACUCAAGGCCUUAAAGUUCAACUUGGGAAAUCCUACAAUAAAGACAAUACUAAGGUAAGGAGUAAGGGCAAUGCUUGCAUACUUUUUUGCUUGGGCACUUUUGAUCAUGUGCACUUAUGAUGCUUCGCUGUAAACAUAUCGGAUUGAUUAAUGUUCCUUCUCAUUUUGGUUUGCAGGAGAUUUGCUAGAGUGACUCAAGAGAGCUACAAAGUAUGCAAAACCUCUCUCUCACAGCCAAUUGAGCUAAAAAUGUAAUACAUACAAUAAGCUAAUUACUUGCUUUGUGCUUUUUACAGGAUCCUAAUCUGCAGUUAGAAUUUUUGGGCUACUACCUUGCAGAGUUAAGUUUGUUAGAGUACGAGUGUGUAAAGUUUUUGCCCUCAUUGGUGGCUGCGUCUGUUACAUUUCUCGCAAGAUUUAUGAUCCGGCCAAAGUCUCAUCCUUGGGUAAGAACUUGCUAGAGACUCUGUAACAUUGUUUAACAAGUAUUGAAAGAAAUUGCUGAGUUAAUCUUGUUUUCUGCAGACUCUGUCCCUGCAACAAUAUUCUGGAUACAAACCAACUGAUUUGAGGGAAUGCGUCCUUAUCAUACACGACUUGCAUCGGAGUAAAAGAGGAGCAACUUUACAAUCGAUAAGAGGAAAGUACAAAUCACAUAAGGUACUUUGGCUAAAUGUUUACCUACAGACUUUGGUUUUAUUUUCCACGCUAUAGAGAAUAGAGAUAAUGUGAAUUGUGUUGUUUUUGGAUACAGUUCAAAUGCGUGGCAACCAUAUCUUCUCCUCCAGAAGUACCGACUGACUACUUUGAAGAUCUGAAAGAAUGAUUAUUUAAGUACAAGAGGACUAGGUUUUAGCUGCAAGACGAGGGGUUUUUUUAACUCAAGUUUUUCAAGACGAAUGGUUGUGAUAUAUGCUUGGAUUAGAUAUAUAUUUUUUGUAGGGUCUCGAUCUCAAUGGUGUUGCUUAGAUAGUCCCCACUAGCGUUUAAAAUUUCUUUCACCUUGCUAGAUUAUUUGUUGAUUAUGACAGAAGUUAGGAUAGCAUUUUGAGUGCAUUUGGUUGCUUUCGCUGGGAAUGUUGAGUUGUGAAAGCUUGUAAUAUUCCUCAUUUCUCAAUCGCUGUAGAAAUGAUGUUUGUAAAUCACAGGUUCUCAUUUUUAUUUUUAACUUUUCCUGGUUUUUGUUUCACUUGCAUUGCGUUCGUAUCAGUCAAAACAUAUUAUAUUCCCUGAUCCUCAUGUGUGACCCGACUUAAUUCGUGAAUUAAUUAUAUUAAUUGAGACACCUGAAUAAAUCAACUGUUUUGAUAUCAUAUUUAAAGUAUACAAUCCAAAAUUAAUUGGUAAUCAGGGAAGAAAUUUAAGACUUAUUAUAUUGAGAUAUAAAUAUUAGAAUAUUCUAUGUUUAGAUUUUACAUUCUUAACAAAUCCUCACCUUCUUAAAUGCAGAUUGAAUUUCAAUAGCACAAGUGAAAAAUAAAAAAUAAUUUUUUUUUACUAGCACAACAUAACAUAGAAAGAAAGCUCUUCAUUGUCAUUUAAAGAUGAAUGGGAAUCUACCCCAACUGAAAAUAAUAAUAAAAUGAUAAUGAACAUAAAAGUUGAAAAUCUUACAUUCGGAAAUCCACAACACAUACUACGUUGUUAGCAAAACACGCAGCGACCUUGUCACCUUCCUUGUUCCAACAAACUUCAAAUAUCCCCCCAUUUCCUGUGUAUGUUUUUACAAUUUUGCCUUCCUUCACGGACCAUAUGUGCAUACAUUUAUCCAUAGAUCCACUGGCCAAGUACUCGCCAUCCGGGCUGAAUGCAACAGAGUAUACCGGAUCCCUAGGAUUUGCCAUACAGACAAUGUCAGUAGAUUGCGAAUCACAACUAACAUAACAGUCUCAUUUUUCAAGCAAACAAAUUAGUACCACCUCUUUGUUCUUUGUGGAAUGUAAAUCGCACCUCAUAGAUCUCAUACAGAAUUUCUUUAGAAAAACGCCAUGCAACAAACUAAAAUUAAUGAAUAUUUACCUGUGGCCAUUGAAGCUGUAGAGAAGUCUCCCUAGUUCCACGUCCCAUAGUUUUAUAGUUGAGUCAAAGGAAGCGCUGGUCCAUGUAAAAUAAGAGAAACAUAAAGAAUGUAUGAAUAACAGUAUCUGCUCUUUCAAGGCAACGACAGAAACAAACACAAGCGACCAUGCACGCACAUACACAUAUAGAAAGUACUUUACUUUACCCUUAUUUCUACACAUGUCAGAAGAAGCAGUGCAUUUACCUUGCUAGAACUAACUGUUGAUUGGGAUUAUUUGUGCCUGGUCCUGUAGGACUCCACCGGAUGGUAUAUAUCUCCUACAAAAUAAUGCAUCCAUCACAACUUACAAUCUGGGAAUAUUUUCAACAAACUCACAAAUAGAAACGAGGCACAGAUACCUUAACAUGUUCCUUCAAAUCAUGCAAAUAUUUGUCCUGCUUCGUACUCCAUAUCUGUGUUAAAAGAUACUUGAGUUUUCAGCCCAUUCAAGAAAACCACAAUAAAGAGAAACCCAUAAAACAAACUGUUCUGUACUACGGAGACACUAAUAUGUCAAUGUAACCCGGGUCAAGAAACCCAUGGUAAGAGUGCAAAAAUGUAGUGCAACAUUAUUGAUUGGAAGUUCAAAAGAAAAGCAUUCUCAAAUGUCUAGAUCACCUUUGCAGUAUAAUCAUCAGAGCAAGAAGCCAACAAAGAGCCGGUUGGAUCCCACUUAAUAGCAUUAACUUCACCCUGAAACAAUAAAAUCAGAAAGGUUGAAUAAAAAUCAUGCAGUAUCAAUCUCCUGAUGAGAUUCACCAACUGGUGAGUUCCUUUCCUCUAAGCAUUUAACUGGAUAUAUUUUAUAAUGUGAGAGCGGCAAAGGGUGGAAGAUGUUUAAUGUCAAUCCAGACCUGAGAAAUCUAUACCAGUACAAUCAAUUUUAGUGAGACCUUGAUAGAAGAAAGUGUAAAAAGAUUAUAGAUUAUUAAUUUAUUCAAUUUAUUUUGCAAGGCAAUAUCUAAACCCAAGGCUUGCUCUACCCCCCAUCCUUUACAACCUGGUCCAAGGGACAGGGGCAUGCAACUAGUAAUUUGGGGAAGCACUGACGAUACACGCAAGUAUAUGUAGCUCUCAAUACUCAUACCUCCUCAUUUUUUUUUAUAAAUUUUUUUGAAUUUUACUUUUUACACAUGUUCCCUGAUUGGAAGCAUGAAAAUCAUGAGUCAUUAAGCAUUUACAUGAGAACUGACAGAGCACAAUUCUAAUUUGUCUUUAUAUAAUAGUAAAAAUUCAUGUGUUUAAUUCAAAAAAUGAUGCAGUAACUAUAAACUAGCAAACAUGAUUGGUUUGUUGGAUUAUAGAACAAACCUGAUGCCCUGAGAAAGUUUUGAUUGGUUGGUUCUCUCCAACCUUGCAAACAUGUAUCAAAGUAUCAGUGGAGCACGUUGCAAAGGAAACAUUGUUCCGCCAAUCAACAUCCAGGGUUGGAGCUGAAAAAUAAUUUUGGCUUGCUUAACAUGGUGCAGAAGUGAAAUUUUAUCAAACACAGCCUUAAAAUAAUGCAGUACCUGAAUGAAAUUCAAACUGCUGUUUCCAUUCCCCACUCUUUAUGUCCCACACAAUUGCGGUUUUAUCCACACUGCCACUCAGAAGAUAAUCACCUUUCUUGUUCCACUUCAGAGAAAAGAUUGGACCUUUAUGUUUGAUUAAUGUAGUCCUUAACUCUCCUAUAUAAAAAUCCCACAGUAAAAGUUAACAAAAACCUAGGACUAAGUGCAAGCUGUUUAAAAUCUAUCAAUCACUAGACUUCAACAGCAAACAUGUUGCAGAUAUAAACAUAACUCACCAUCUCUACUCCAUAUUCUUGCUUGGCCAUCGUAAGAACCUGUUGCAAGCAAUGUCCCAUCACCCUACAAAAUGGCAAAUCCUUUAGCAAAAACAUAAUGCGAGAAAGUCAUGUCAGAGUUUUCAACUACAGAACGUGAUAAAGACUCACAUUCCAAUCAAGUGUGGUCACGUCCUUGCUUUUCUCAUUGGCUCUACCUUUGAAAUGCUUUAAAACCGCAACAUUUGCAGGCUCAUUUUGCAUGCCAGAUCCACAACCUCCAUCUGCAAUGGUCCAAAUUCGCGCUGUUGAAUCUCCAGACCUAGACAAGGAAAUACAAGUGAAAAUAAGAUGAUCUUCCAUGUUUCUGACACCUUUUAUCGUACAAAGUAAUAUCCCAACUCCAGCUACUUUGUGAGAUAGAUGACAAAAAAUAUAAAUCACCUGAUGCUAAAAUGCCCAGGUAUAAAAGACAACAUACUCACCCAGAUGCAAGAAGUGAACCCGAUGGACUCCAUGCACAAGCAAAAACCUGUCAGAAGUGGAGGAACAAGUUCAUGCAAUCACACUCUACCAACUGAUAAUGGGAGGAAAAUGUACAAUGCAAGGAUAUAUCCAAUCCAAACCUCUGAGGUAUGGCCUUCUAGAACUGUUACGUCAGAGCUAGGAAUUUCACUAGGCAAGGAUAUUGAGCUUGGAGUUAUUUCCAUUGGUUCCACCCCUAUUUCACAUAUUUACAGACAACUUAAACUUUACAAUUGGGAAGCUAACAUAUGGCCAAAGUUCAACGUCUUUAUAAACAGAAACGAAAUUGAGGGCAAAUUACCUCCACAAGUUCCAUUUUCUUCUGGUUCCAUUUUCUCAAUCUCAUUGUGAUCCUCGUGUGUUUCUUCAUUCUCUUUAUCAAUUUCUUGUUCCCUCUCCUUGUGCGACUUGUCCUCCCGAUCCUCUUCUUCUUCCUUUUCCCUAUCUCUUCUUUCCUCCUCUACUUCUCGAGCAUUUUCCCUUUCACUUUCCUCCUUGCUCUCAUUUUUCUGGUUAGCUGCGUUCAUCCUGUCCUUCUUCUCCCUGACCAUUUUCUGUAAUUGAUAAGCAUCUUUCGUGAUAAGAUCCAACGGUUGCAGAAACGAAAAGUCGUCGUCCAUGUCCGCAUCACUCUGUAAACCUAACACACACAUCAAUCAGCCCAAGCUUCCAACUUUCAAACUUCAAAGCAUGUAUUAAUUAAGAAAAUUAAACACUUUGCUUACACUGCUGCUCAAGUCUGCUUCCAGCUCAAGAUAUUGAAGCCCUUUCUGGAUAAACGUAACAAGUGCGCCUGGCGGAACUACAUUACCGUCAAUCGUGCUUUUGUGAAGCUCGGCCUCGUAUCCAAAGGCGUAAGCUGAAUGCGUAAAGCCUGAAGAAAUUAAGAAAUUAAUUAGAGUUUCAUAACAAUUUCUAGCCAGAAAAUGAUUAAUUUUGCAAGCGUUAAACAGGCAAAUGGAACGGACCUGAUUCGUGGAGGUAACGGAAGACUAGGUAGUUCAAUUCGUUGGAGGUGAGGGAGAUCAUCGUCGUCGUCAACGUUGAAGCUCCAAACCCUAGGGUUCAGGUGUCUAUCGCCGAGCCAGAAGCCUAAAGCCACCGCCGUACUUCUUACUUACUUCCCAGGCAGAGAGAGAGAGAGACGUUGGCCGCUGGGCUAUGUGUAAAAUUUGUAACGUCUUUAACGGUGGUUAAUAAAUAGGAGCGUAUCUGGCGCGGUUGGGCGCUUUGCUAGACAGUUCUUAAGUGGCGGCGGCCGGCGCCCUUUUACUCGGCUUGGGCCCGCCUUCUGAUUACAAACUAUUCGGGCCGAAUUAAGUCCGAGUUUAAGGUUUUGGAUUGGGCUAAAUUUAUAGGAUCCUUUUCCAGUUGGCCCAAACUGGAAGUUUGAAAGGAGGCUCAUUUUUAACCACCAAAUAAGGAGUUUGGUUUUACUUUAUUUUUAUUUUUUAUUUAUUAAAGAGAAACUUCAUUAGAUAACCUUUAACAAUGUAAGCAAAUAUCAACAUGAUAUCUAAAACAUCAAUCCCACAAGAGCAACAAACUAACAUAUUAAAAACAAUACUAAAGCAGACAAAUUCGCACUAAAAGUACUGGCAAAUAGGGGUGGGUACAAUUCGGUUUGGACCGAUUUUUGCCUCAAAUUAGAACCGAUAUGAUACUAUUCAUCCGAUUUGGUUCGGUUCGAUUUUAAUAAAAAAAAUAUAAAAACUGUCUGGUUCGAUUUGAACUGAUUUUGGUCCGAUUUUGGUUCCGGUUUAAUUUUGAACCGGAUUAUAAAAAUUAUUAUUUUAAAUUAUUAUUUAAUACAAUUCUCAAAUGAAAUAUUAUUAUUUUACUUGAAAAUUAACAGAUUAUUCAAUUUUAUAUAAAAAUAAAUAUUAAAGUUAGAAAAGAGAGAUAUUUUGAAAUUGAACUUAGAUAAAUAUUAGUUUUUUUUAGUAAAAUUAAAAAUAUAGCAUUGAAUAUAAAUAUAUUGAAAUUAUAUAUAUUUUUUAAUUUGACCGUUCGGUUCGGCCCAGUUCGGUUUUUGAAGACAUGGAACUGGAUUCAGAACCGGUCCAAAUCGAUCCGGUUCGAUUUUUUUUCAAUUUGGUUCGAUGCGGUUCGGCUCGAAUUUUCGGUUCGCUGGUUUGAGUGCCCACCCCUACUCGCAAACAUCACCAAGCAUAAUUUUAAACAAAGUCAAUACACACCACAUAACUGAAACCAUAAAGCAACCCAAAAGCCUAAAUUAACCAUACCAUCACUACCUGAAGAAGCGUCAUCGUAGCCACACCCCUCACCACAUAAAAUCUUGAAGCGAUAACAAAUCUAGAGAAAGCAUGGUUUCCAACUAUCUACCUUGGCAUAAGAUAUAACAAAUAAAACAAAACAACAACCUUGACAAAGAAGAAUUUGAUGAUUUCCAACAAACUAUGUCAAAUACGAUAUAAAACUAAUUUUAGAGAACAUAACAAUGUUAGAUAGCUAUUUUUGGGAGAAUAAUUUGAUUGAGAACAUAGUUUGAAAGAGGUGAUGGGGAACUUCAAUAUGAACAUGGCUUAGAAGAAAUCACCACAAAGGGCUUCUUAUUCAAAACGUUCCGGUGGACUUAUUCACUACCCAAAAAAAAAGAAGGUAAGAAGUGAUGAGGGAGAGGAGGAAUAGUGACGCUUCUUCCUUCUCCUCCCUUUAUGGAGUUUUUCUUUGAGAUUGACAAAGAAGGAAAACGACUAAGGUAUUGUUUUCUCUCUCUCCAACCUAAUUAUAAUUGUAAAUUAAUUAGAGUUUGGUUUUACUUAAUACUCAAAUUUCAGAAGCAAAAUCUACUGAGGUAUUGAACUUUAUAAAAUAAAAUUAAAAAUUAAAAAAAAAAACUUGACUGGAUCAUUUAAAUUCCAAAUCGGUAUAAAUUUUAAAAGUGAAGGCCAACUAUUUAUGCAUACAUGGGAAAUACUUAAGUGCAUCCAAUUGUUUGUUAGCCACUUUUGUGAUCAUUAAAUUUUCACCAUAGACAUAAACAUGGACAUGUCAUAAUUGGAAUUAUUAUUUCCUAAAUUAAAAGGUCAUAUCUAAAAAAUAAGAUAAUAAAAAUUGGUGAUCUCUUGGUCAUUCAUGUGUAUCUGACAAAUGGAUAGUUGGUUGAUCUUAAUAGUGACCAAAAUUGUUGAUUUGUUUGAUAUUUGUGCAUAUUAUUUAACAUCCAAUUUUAUUGAAUUUUUGUACAUAUGACAUUUUUUUUUGUUGAGAAAUUCUCAAAUUGCAUUCAUAAUUUAGUCAAAAAAACCACUAGUUAUAAAGGGUCAAUACAAACUAGCCACAAAGGCUAUUACAAUAACAGAGCGAUCUAACAUCAAAAUUAAGACUAUGAGGCCCCUCCACUAACAAUCACACAUGAUCUAAAAAAUUAUGGUAUAGACAUCCCAACUAAGAGUGCAAACUAUAAAAAAGAAAAAGACAAAAAAAAAAAAGAAAAAGAAAAAGCUUGAAAAUACCAAACUAUAACAAGACAAAUAAAACUCUCAUAAAGAAAAUGUAAAAAACUCUCACAAAUGAGAGGUGAAAUACUCUCACAAAAAGAUAGGUGAAAACUAUAUAGAAAACUCAAAGAGUCACUGUGAUUUAUUCUAAUCAUGAAGAAAUCACAAAAAAAGAUGAUGGUAGAGAUUCAACACCGAAAUGCGGUUGGAGAUUCGACACUGAGGUGCAUCUAUUUGUGAUGAGUGGAUGAAAAUCAUUACAAAAUAAAGACAAAUAAGAGAAACCUUAUUUCUCUAAGAAAAAGGAAAAAUGGAGAGAAAGGAAGAGAGGAGGGGAGGAAGGACAGCGGCUUCCUCCCCCCUCAAAGUAAAAACGAGUGUAGAGUGUUUUUUGAGGAGGGAGAAGGCUAGAGUUUUCGUUUUGACAUUUAAAUUGUGAUUUUUGAAAUGAACAAUUUCGAUUAUGACUUGUUUUGUUGAUUCAAGUAGAUUUGCACACUCCUUUAAUUUAUGCUCUUAUAUUCUAGUCCAGUAGAUUGGUACCAAACAUUCUUUGAAAUCUGGAUCAUAUUAAUUGGAUUUCCCAUGUCUCAAAUCUCAACAUCAAGAGCCAAUCGAGCAUGAUCUGUGUAGACAAGUCUUGUUUCAAAGUCCUAUCCCAGAAUUUCAAGACGUACGCUUUUCAUGCAUGGCAUCAUGGCAUGGCUGAUUGAUACGCGCGAAGACAGAAAAAUCACCAGUCACUGUGCGCAUAAGACACUCAAAAGCUUGGAUGAAUAAAUGGAAAGAAGAGAAGAUAAAAAAGAAAGAGAAAAAAAAAACACAUCGGGAAGGCGCUCAGGGCGCUCAGGCUCAGGGCUCCUCACGCAUGAUUUGACCACUGAAAUCGUGUACUUUAAGAAAAGGCACAAAAAUGUCUGGUUCUUACUUUAAAAGAUUGUAUUAUUAUUAUUGUGUAGUUCCUUAUUCUUAUCACAACCUUUUGCAUGAAGAAGGAAAGUCCUAGUCUUUGGAAGCAUAUGAUUUCACGCGGUUUUCAAUGUGGCUAAAAGCAACAGAUAUUUCCAGGCCUAGAUUAAGCAGGCUAUCUAUCGAAGCAUAACCUUGACUCUUCCUUCCAAAGCCGACAAGCACAACCAGGACAAAAGAAAUUUGCACAAGAGCCAACAUCUCUAUACCACUCUAUUCAUCUUUAAAGUGUAAAAAGCAAAACAUGAAAAAGAGUUCUCGUGAAGCACAAAGAAUAUUAUUUAAAAAGCAAACAGAAAAAAUGUGUUCUCGUGGGAAGUGUCCCUUGUUUGCAGGGUGUACUCAAUUGCACCACAUCACCUUUUUCCCUCUCUCUCUCUCUCUCUCUCUCUCUCUCUCUCUCACACACACACACACUUUCAAACAAAGCCAUGUGUGUGCCUGCCUGCCUUUUCAAACAACCCCCAUCAAAUCCCCUCCUCUCUCUUUCUUUCUUUCAGCUUUGUUCUUGUCUGGCUUCAACCUGAAGCCACAACCCAAGUUCAGCAAUAUGCAAUUUCAGAACCUUGUGUUAAUGGUGUUGGUUUUUUUCUCAAUGCUGGUCUCUGGGUACAAGGAAAACACGAUGCCACUAUCUGUACCCAAUAAUGUGGAGCAAAACCAACAAGAACAUGAGGAUGAUAUGAAUAAGCGGCCACAGCAGCAGCAGCAGCAGCAGCAGCAGCGGUUGAGGCACUCAUUUGAGGCCUUCUUUUCAAGCAAGAGGAAAGUUCCAAACGCUUCUGACCCGCUCCAUAAUCGUUGACAAGGAAGUAAUGUGAAAACCAGAUGUUGAAGCACUCAUUUUGUCAACUUCUUCUGGCUUAGUAAGUAACUAGUUCCUGUUAACUUCUUUGUUCAAUAUUAUCUAUUUUGUAGUUUCUAUGCCAUACCAGCCAAAUCAAUGUAUAAAUUUAACAUUAGUCCCCCUCCUCUCCUCUCUUCAAAAAAACAAAUCCUGAAUCUGACCUGAAAGUGCCUAAUAUUCUUUUAGUAGCCACGAUUUUGCCAUACAUUUAAUUGAAUUGUCUUUUGUGGUUGCAUAACUCGCAGUGCAUUUGUUUUUGCUCCAUAUUUUAACAAGGAAAUUACUGUAUGAGUAUGAAGGUGCAAUGUGCUCGCCCCAUUGUACCGAGUUCGAUUCCCUAUCUGUACAUUAGAUUAGUUAGAAUAUCGUUUUGUCAAAGGCCAAAAAAAAAAAAAAAAAAAACAGAGAGAGGGAAAAGAACCAAAAUGGGCUUUGGAAUUCCAGGUGUAGUUUUUACAUUGAAGCCAGCGUGAAUGGUCUUGGUUUACACAUAGCCUCCAAGGGCUUAACCCUUGGCAUCAUAAGACCCAAGCCUUCACUCAUAUCCACCAUGUCCUCCCCAAUCCUCUCCCACUCAAAUGACUGAACCAAGCUUCCAAGAGCCAGUUCAACCAACCUGUUUGCUAAGCCAGCCCCAGGACAUCCGCGCCUUCCAGCCCCAAACGGGAUUUAGCCUAUAUCCUCCUUCAAGCCCUCCUUCACCAAUCCAUCUUUCAAUCCUCUCUGGCUUAAACUUUGUGGGGUCCUCCCACACCUCAGGGUCCCUAUGGAUGGCCCACGCAUUCACCACCCGCAUUGUAUGACGUGGCACGUCAAAUCCCCCCACCACAAAGUCCUCAGAGUCUUCACGAGGCACCAGAAUUGGAAAAGGCGGGUACAAGCGGAGUGUCUCACAUUGAACAUUUUGCAAGUUACACAGCUUUGGCAAGUCUUGCCCUUCCAACGCACGCUUUUCUCCAAUCUUGGUCUCUAUCUCAUCUCUCACUUCGCCAUUGCCCAUUCUAGGGUUGUUGAUGACGUGUCACUCCCAGCAACCAGCAACCAGCAACACCUACAAUCAGUCCACAUUUAACUACCUAACGGUCACCUCCAAAAGAACACAAAAACUAAAAACAAAGAAGUGUGAGUUACCAAAAUGAUUCCUUUGAUUAUUUCGUCGGUGUAGAAUUCGGGCUCUGUUUGUUGCUGUUGGAAUAUAGUAGGUGUAUGAUGAGCGUAUGUGAUGCUCUGAUACCACUGUUAGAAUUGAAAGGGAAAAACAAAGUGAUUUUAUUAUAUUUGAAGGAGAAUAAUACAUGGCUCAAUUUAGGCUAAUUGUCCUUCUACACUUAGCAUAUUGACUUAUUGGCCACUACACUUGAUUUAGAAUAGUUUUGGGCUAGUUGGCCCUUCACUUAGAUUAAUUUGGGCUAUUUGGCCCUUACAUUUUGAUUGGUGAGCUUAUUGGCUCUCAACAUAGUUAACUUUAGGUAGCUCUUGGCUCCCUAAUAGUUUGGGAGUUGAUUGGUUCUACUCCAUAUAGAUUGGGAGUUCUAUUGGUUGACUCCACUUGGCUUUAUUGCAUUGCAUGCCUAUUUAUAGGCAUGCUUUGCCGACAUUACCAAGUCCACCGACUUGGUCUCUUGCUCCAGCUACAUGUAUGUGGCUUUGCCUAGAAACUUCUAUAUUUUACAAUAUUAUUUUUG
Molecule: long non-coding RNA, 34924 nt
Filed under: Prunus persica (peach)
Lineage: Eukaryota; Viridiplantae; Streptophyta; Magnoliopsida; Rosales; Rosaceae
Description: long non-coding RNA (PPER_LNC001451)
Source: RNAcentral